CAAAGAUUAAGCCAUGCAUGUCUAAGUAAAAGCAAAUUUUUACAGCGAAACUGCGAAUGGCUCAUUAAAUCAGUUAUGAUCUACAUGACAAAUACUUUACUACUGGAUAACCGUGGUAAUUCUAGAGCUAAUACAUGCAGAAAAGACCCGACUUCGGAAGGGUUGCACUUAUUAGAUCAAAACCUCCCUGGGUAAAACCAGUUCUUUGGUGAUUCAUAAUAAUUUAGCUGAUCGCAUGGCCUUGCGCCGGCGACGGUACAUUCGAUUUUCUGCCCUAUCAGGCUGUUGAUUGUAAGAUAGAGGCUUACAAUGGCUACCACGGGUAACGGGGAAUUAGGGUUCGAUUCCGGAGAGGGAGCCUGAGAAACGGCUACCACAUCCAAGGAAGGCAGCAGGCGCGCAAAUUACCCAAUCCCAAUUCGGGGAGGUAGUGACAAUAAAUAACAAUGCUGGGCCUUUUGGCCUAGCAAUUGGAAUGAGUACAAUUUAAAUCCCUUAACGAGGAUCAAUUGGAGGGCAAGUCUGGUGCCAGCAGCCGCGGUAAUUCCAGCUCCAAAAGCGUAUAUUAAAGUUGUUGCAGUUAAAACGUCCGUAGUCGAAUUUACACCUGGUACUUGGGCCGCCGGUUCUUCAUUGAGCUGGAUUGGUCUCAGGUCCGGUGAUAAAGUCUGGUCUACAGCUUGGUUGGCUUCGGUCGGCUGAGUUCCCUGGCCAGGCGUAUUACCAUGAGCAAAUCAGAAUGCUCAAAGUAGGCCUUCGCGCCUGAAUGUAUUAGCAUGGAAUAAUAAAAUAGGACUCGAGUCUUGUUUUGUUGGUUUACUUGACAUUGAGAAAUGAUGAAUAGGAACGGUUGGGGGCAUUUGUAUUUGGCCGCUAGAGGUGAAAUUCUUGGAUUGGCCGAAGGCAAACUACUGCGAAAGCAUUUGACCCAGGACGUUUUCAUUGAUCAGGGACUAAAGUUGAGGGAUCGAAGACGAUUAGAUACCGUCGUAGUCUUAACCACAAACUAUGCCGACUAGCGAUUGGGCCUUGACCUUUGGUCAGGUUCAGCAGCUUAGCGAAAGUAAAGUCUUUGGGUUCUGGGGGGAGUAUGGGACGCAAGGCUGAAACUUAAAGGAAUUGACGGAAGGGCACCACCAGGAGUGGAGCCUGCGGCU
RNAcentral lists this ribosomal RNA (1157 nucleotides) under Absidia psychrophilia. Its description in RNAcentral is "SSU rRNA". It matches the Rfam family "Eukaryotic small subunit ribosomal RNA", at positions 38 to 1190 of the family's 1831-position model. The record is from RNAcentral. Lineage: Eukaryota; Fungi; Mucoromycota; Mucoromycetes; Mucorales; Cunninghamellaceae.